GGUCGGGGCCUUGUCUUGACUGAGUGCAAGAUCCUCUUUAGACUCUUGUACCCCUAAAUUUGGUAGGGCUCCGUCCUGCCAAUUUUUGCUUUUCUUGCAAGACAAUAGCGUCGCAAGACAAUCAGUGGAGCUAGUAGA
RNAcentral lists this small RNA (138 nucleotides) under Pseudomonas japonica. RNAcentral describes it as "Pseudomonas rpsL leader". It matches the Rfam family "Pseudomonas rpsL leader". Lineage: Bacteria; Pseudomonadati; Pseudomonadota; Gammaproteobacteria; Pseudomonadales; Pseudomonadaceae. The record is from RNAcentral.